This 742-nucleotide ribosomal RNA is filed under the name uncultured bacterium. Its description in RNAcentral is "bacterial SSU rRNA". It matches the Rfam family "Bacterial small subunit ribosomal RNA", at positions 62 to 801 of the family's 1533-position model. The record is from RNAcentral.
UCGAACGGUAACAUUUCUAGCUUGCUAGAAGAUGACGAGUGGCGGACGGGUGAGUAAUGCUUGGGAACUUGCCUUUGCGAGGGGGAUAACAGUUGGAAACGACUGCUAAUACCGCAUAAUGUCUACGGACCAAACGGGGCUUCGGCUCCGGCGCAAAGAGAGGCCCAAGUGAGAUUAGCUAGUUGGUAAGGUAACGGCUUACCAAGGCGACGAUCUCUAGCUGUUCUGAGAGGAAGAUCAGCCACACUGGGACUGAGACACGGCCCAGACUCCUACGGGAGGCAGCAGUGGGGAAUAUUGCACAAUGGGGGAAACCCUGAUGCAGCCAUGCCGCGUGUGUGAAGAAGGCCUUCGGGUUGUAAAGCACUUUCAGUUGUGAGGAAAAGUUAGUAGUUAAUACCUGCUAGCCGUGACGUUAACAACAGAAGAAGCACCGGCUAACUCCGUGCCAGCAGCCGCGGUAAUACGGAGGGUGCGAGCGUUAAUCGGAAUUACUGGGCGUAAAGCGCACGCAGGCGGUUUGUUAAGCUAGAUGUGAAAGCCCCGGGCUCAACCUGGGAUGGUCAUUUAGAACUGGCAGACUAGAGUCUUGGAGAGGGGAGUGGAAUUCCAGGUGUAGCGGUGAAAUGCGUAGAUAUCUGGAGGAACAUCAGUGGCGAAGGCGACUCCCUGGCCAAAGACUGACGCUCAUGUGCGAAAGUGUGGGUAGCGAACAGGAUUAGAUACCCUGGUAGUCCACACC